Molecule: ribosomal RNA, 301 nt
Filed under: uncultured bacterium
Lineage: Bacteria
Description: partial 16S ribosomal RNA
Rfam family: Bacterial small subunit ribosomal RNA
Source: RNAcentral
CAGCCGCCGCGGUAAUACGAGGGGGCUAGCGUUGCUCGGAAUUACUGGGCGUAAAGGGCGCGUAGGCGGACAUUUAAGUCAGAGGUGAAAGCCCAGGGCUCAACCUUGGAACUGCCUUUGAUACUGGGUGUCUAGAGUGCGGGAGAGGUGUGUGGAACUCCGAGUGUAGAGGUGAAAUUCGUAGAUAUUCGGAAGAACACCAGUGGCGAAGGCGACACACUGGCCCGUAACUGACGCUGAGGCGCGAAAGCGUGGGGAGCAAACAGGAUUAGAUACCCGUGUAGUCCCUGUCUCUUAUACA